This 253-nucleotide ribosomal RNA is filed under the name uncultured bacterium. Its description in RNAcentral is "partial 16S ribosomal RNA". It matches the Rfam family "Bacterial small subunit ribosomal RNA", at positions 524 to 776 of the family's 1533-position model. The record is from RNAcentral.
UACAGAGGGGGCAAGCGUUGUUCGGAAUUACUGGGCGUAAAGGGCGCGUAGGCGGCCUUCUAAGUCGAACGUGAAAUCCCCGGGCUCAACCCGGGAACUGCGUCCGAGACUGAAAGGCUUGAAUCCGGGAGAGGGAUGUGGAAUUCCAGGUGUAGCGGUGAAAUGCGUAGAUAUCAGGAGGAACACCGAUGGCGAAGGCAGGUCUCUGGGCUGACACUGACGCUCAUGCACGAAAGCGUGGGGAGCAAACAGG